CCUACGGGAGGCAGCAGUGAGGAAUAUUGGUCAAUGGGCGCGAGCCUGAACCAGCCAAGUCGCGUGAGGGAUGACGGUCCUACGGAUUGUAAACCUCUUUUGCCGGGGAGCAAGCGUGCGUUCGUGAACGCGCGUCGAGAGUACCCGGAGAAUAAGCAUCGGCUAACUCCGUGCCAGCAGCCGCGGUAAUACGGAGGAUGCGAGCGUUAUCCGGAUUUAUUGGGUUUAAAGGGUGCGUAGGCGGUUUUUUAAGUUAGUGGUUAAACGUCGGGGCUUCACCUUGAUUUUCCAUUCAUACUGUAAGA
RNAcentral lists this ribosomal RNA (305 nucleotides) under uncultured bacterium. Its description in RNAcentral is "bacterial SSU rRNA". It matches the Rfam family "Bacterial small subunit ribosomal RNA", at positions 338 to 640 of the family's 1533-position model. The record is from RNAcentral.